AGACCACCAGCUAAGGUCCCAAAAUAUAUGUUAAGUGGAAAAGGAUGUGGCGUUGCCCAGACAACUAGGAUGUUGGCUUAGAAGCAGCCAUCAUUUAAAGAGUGCGUAAUAGCUCACUAGUCGAGUGACACUGCGCCGAAAAUGUACCGGGGCUAAACAUAUUACCGAAGCUGUGGAUUGUCCUUUGGACAAUGGUAGGAGAGCGUUCUAAGG
RNAcentral lists this ribosomal RNA (213 nucleotides) under Staphylococcus aureus. Its description in RNAcentral is "partial 23S ribosomal RNA". It matches the Rfam family "Bacterial large subunit ribosomal RNA", at positions 1029 to 1246 of the family's 2925-position model. The record is from RNAcentral. Lineage: Bacteria; Bacillati; Bacillota; Bacilli; Caryophanales; Staphylococcaceae.